UCGAGGGGCAGCAUAACUUAGCUUGCUAAGUUGAUGGCGACCGGCGCACGGGUGAGUAACACGUAUCCACCUGCCGAUGACUCGGGGAUAGCCUUUCGAAAGAAAGAUUAAUACCCGAUGGCUCCGCAUGGUUAAAGAAUUUCGGUCAUCGAUGGGGAUGCGUUCCAUUAGGUUGUUGGCGGGGUAACGGCCCACCAAGCCUUCGAUGGAUAGGGGUUCUGAGAGGAAGGUCCCCCACAUUGGAACUGAGACACGGUCCAAACUCUACGGGAGGCAGCAGUGAGGAAUAUUGGUCAAUGGACGAGAGUCUGAACCAGCCAAGUAGCGUGAAGGAUGACUGCCUAUGGGUUGUAAACUUCUUUUAUACGGGAAUAAGUGAGGCACGUGUGCCUUUUUGUAUGUACCGUAUGAAUAAGGAUCGGCUAACUCCGUGCCAGCAGCCGCGGUAAUACGGAGGAUCCGAGCGUUAUCCGGAUUUAUUGGGUUUAAAGGGAGCGUAGGCGGACGCUUAAGUCAGUUGUGAAAGUUUGCGGCUCAACCGUAAAAUUGCAGUUGAUACUGGGUGUCUUGAGUA
RNAcentral lists this ribosomal RNA (574 nucleotides) under uncultured bacterium. RNAcentral's name for it is "bacterial SSU rRNA". It matches the Rfam family "Bacterial small subunit ribosomal RNA", at positions 62 to 648 of the family's 1533-position model. The record is from RNAcentral.